Molecule: ribosomal RNA, 465 nt
Filed under: uncultured bacterium
Lineage: Bacteria
Description: partial 16S ribosomal RNA
Rfam family: Bacterial small subunit ribosomal RNA
Source: RNAcentral
GAUGAACGCUGGCGGCGUGCUUAACACAUGCAAGUCGAACGGAAAGGCCCCUGCUUGCUGGGGUACUCGAGUGGCGAACGGGUGAGUAACACGUGGGUGAUCUGCCCUGCACUUCGGGAUAACCCCGGGAAACUGGGUCUAAUACCGGAUAGGACCAUGUGUUGGAUGCCAUUGUGGAAAGUUUUUCGGUGUGGGAUGAGCUCGCGGCCUCUCAGCUUGUUGGUGGGGUAGUGGCCUACCACGGCGUCGACGGGUAGCCGGCCUGAGAGGGUGUACGGCCACAUUGGGACUGAGAUACGGCCCAGACUCCUACGGGAGGCAGCAGUGGGGAAUAUUGCACAAUGGGCGGAAGCCUGAUGCAGCGACGCCGCGUGGGGGAUGACGGCCUUCGGGUUGUAAACUGCUUUCGCUAGUGACGAAGCGCAAGUGACGGUACCGGGAGAAGAAGCACCGGCUAACUACGUG